This is an RNA transcript of Cataglyphis hispanica, 4397 nucleotides long. It is a transcript of the gene named putative phosphatidate phosphatase, with no coding region annotated. NCBI's taxonomy places the organism in Eukaryota, Metazoa, Arthropoda, Insecta, Hymenoptera, Formicidae. The transcript is spliced from 8 exons. The record is from RefSeq and is a predicted model, not a curated record.
GCCGCGGCGCGCAUCGAAUCGCUUUGCCUUGAAGUCAGUCCACUUUGAAACGUUGGACGGUGAGUGCCGUGCUCCGCAUCGCGCACAUAAAAUGCUCGUGAAACGUCAAUGACGCGUAUCGCUUGCGUCCCGCACCACGUUGUUCUUAUACCUAUAUGUACUUGACUUUGAGACUCGCAGUCGCGUCGUCAUCGUUGUCGUCAUCAUCGUUGUCGUCGUUAUCGUAUCCGAUUACCGUGACUACAACCUGUCCGUCAAGACAUCUGAACGUCGCACCAAAAGUCUAACGAUUCAUUGACUGAAGGUUGUGACAAGUGCGCGCGACAGCAUGGAUCGAUCGUCCAAGUUUAUUCUGCGGAAGCUCAUCGUGGACCUCCUCUGCGUGUUUAUCGUGGGUAUCGCAGUGUUGAUGUUUUACCUAUUUGGCAAACCGUACAAACGCGGCUUUUUUUGCAACGAUGAAUCACUCUAUCACCCGUAUCACGAAUCCACUAUUACGAGCCCGAUGCUGUACAUCAUCGGCCUUUGCCUUCCUGCAUGCACGAUGUUGAUAGGAGAAUACCUGCACGCGAGACACUUCUCCGGACAUACGGCGAAGGUACUCUUCGGAUACACAAUACCUCCAUGGCUGUGGAAUGCUUAUGAAAAGAUUGGUGUAUUUGUUUUUGGCGCGACCUGCACCUCUUUAACCACAGACAUCGCGAAAUACUCAAUAGGCCGGCUACGACCGCACUUUAUGAAGCUAUGUGUGCCCAACAUUGACUGCAGCUUGCCUGAAAAUCAGCACAGAUACAUCGAGCAAUUUAACUGCACCGCAAGCGGGAUUUCGGCCAAAUUGCUAAAAGAAGUCAGAUUAUCGUUUCCCUCCGGUCACUCGUCCUCCUCGGCCUACACCAUGAUCUACCUUGCGAUGUAUCUUCAAUUAAGGAUAAAGUGGAAGGGCAGCAAAUUGCUUAAGCACUUUCUUCAACUGCUGUGCCUGCUCAUGGCCUGGUUUACCGCUAUGUCACGAAUUUCCAAUUACAAACAUCACUGGAGUGAUGUUCUCGCUGGAUCUACUCUUGGCACAAUCUGUGCUUUACUUGUAGGGCACUGCGUGGCAGAUCUCUUCAAGGAGGAAAGAGAGAGACACUAUUCUACAGAGAAGCAUCGACCUGCCGAUUACGAAACGGAAACUGGCGUCGCUAGUACACAGGUGAAUAAUGGCACUGCUAAUCGCAACUGUUGACCUAACGAGCUCGCUCUUCGCUUGCUGACUGCAACAAGGCCGUGACUGUCUUCUAGUUGUCUCUGGGAAGCUAAAAAGGUUUCCGGAUUUUUGUUCGGGGAACAUCAGGUCGGAUCUCAUCUGGAUGUACACGUCGGCGUAGCCUUCUCCAGCCCUGGACUCUCUUUAGAACGAAAUCGACAUCUCACUGACGUGUUUUCGUCUUUAAUACUAUAUGAGCACUUGGAACCCUCAUUAAUGCUCUGUUGAUGUUGUACAAAAAAAGAGAGAAACAAAAAAUUAGAGUGCAAUGUAGCUAAAGCUUACGAAUAUUUUUUAUUUUGUUGAGCUUUGUUUGGUUGAUUAUACGAACAUAUUUGACGUGACGCAAUGUAUUUUAUGUGCAGCGAAGAGUGACAAUUUCUUUUUUAUGCCUUCGUCUCUUAGCUUGUUGUAAUGCUCGAAGGAUAGAUGUACGCUUAAAAGUCUACGUUUGUGGCCUUCCUUGCGAUGGACUGGCAAAAGAUGAAAAUAUUUCGUCGCAAAGAAUCAAUAUUGAUUGAAACGGAAAAGAAAAUUAUUUUCGUAGUUAAUAUUUAUAGAAUUCUAAAUAAUGAAGAUGUAUUUAUUUCUUUACAGUAUAACAUAUUUAUUUUUAAUCGAGGAAUUGGUCAAGUCUAUUAAAUUUAGCAUAAUAGACCGAUGAUCUUCUCCUUUUAUUACAAGUAAUGGAAAAUUGAUGAUCAGCAAAAUUAUUUUAUAUUAUAUUAGCAUAUUGUUUUAAUUAUACUGUUGUUUAAAUUACUCUUUAUUACUUUAGCAGUUUAUCUAUACUGUGCGAUAAUUGAAAAGUGUGCAUGCGUUAUAUACAAGAGAAUUUUAAAUUUAAGAGCUUUUUGAUUUUGCUAUUUUUUAAUAGCUUCAAUAUCCUUAUAAUGUUUUCUAGAUAUUGGCCUAUUCUGCUGAGCAGAUAUGUUGAUAGCUGUCAGAGAAUUACAAUCAGAUAAUAGAGUUUCAGUCGUUAAACAACAUUUGGAUUAUAAAAGAGAUAUUGAUAAUGUUUAAGAUUUAAAUCGAUUUCAAUCUUACUCUACAACUGUGUUAUAAUUCAACGAUGUCGCAAACUAUCUAGGCAAGUAUCGUGACAAAGUUAACAAAAAUGCAACUCGUGCGACUAUUUUUUACUUAUGACAUUUUCUGAAACUAUAUUUAAUAUAUUCUAAAAUUUUAUUAUUUCCAGCGCGAAUAAAUGCGCGAAGAAUAAAUGAAUUACAAGCCAUUGAGAAAAAUUUAUUUCUAUGAAAGUAAAUACUUAAUUUUCGUUAUCAUAAGGGAAAUAUAGAUUACAUAAUUUUUUAAAUUUUAUUCUAUUUCUUUCUCUUUUCCUAUUUUAAAAACAUAUAAAAACUAAAUAAAAAAUUUAUUUUAGAAUAAUAAAAAUAUAUAAUUUAUUAUUUUGAAUAAUAAAUAACAUUAUUUUUUUAAUAAAGAUAAGUAAAAAUAAAAUUUAUUAAUUUAUUUUCAAAAUGUUUGAUUGUCUCUUGUGAUAAUUGUAAAAUAGGGAGAGAUAAAAAAAUGAGAAGAAAUUUUAAUGACAUUCUCUGAUUUCAAUAAUUGAGAAUUUAUACUGUAGAAUGAAUUUUCUUAUUAAUUUUUUUUUAAUUUACCCGUUUUUUUAUGGGGAACAUUUAUUUAAUUCUAAUUUAAAUCUAUCUCUAGACACAAAACCAUUUUUAGAACAUAUAUAUAUAGAUUAAUAGAAACACAGGUUCUUAUACUUAAGAAUCAUUGCAAGUCGACUUUCUUGCUGCAAUACGACUUUUUAUGGCAUUAACUGAUGCGCCGAUAUCUGUCGAAUAUACAUUAUUAAUCCUGAAACAUAUAUAAUUAAUGUGUAGAUGAUACAUACAUAGUAUAUGGUGCUCUAGAAUUUUAAUUAAGUUUACGAUGGCGAUUUGCCAUAGUUUCAUUGAAAGUAUUUGGUAACCAUCGUGUAGAAAAUCACGAUAGAAAAAACCGCGUACAUUCGCAUAUACUGAUAUAUAUAUAUAUAUAUAUAUAUAUAUAUAUAUAUAUAUAUAUAUAUAUAUAUAUAUAUAUUAUAUAGAAAGAUUUUUUAUUUAUUUUAUAUAAAAUUAUAUAUAUACACAAGCACACACAUUGUUAUAUAAAUAUGUCAUAUAUAUAUGUCUAAUUUUUAAUUGUCGUUAUCUUUCAAUUCGAGCAGAGCUCUGAAAUUUUCGAUAACGAAGGAAUGAUUCAAUUGAAUCGAUGUGUUGUUAUAAUACGACUUUACUUAUAAUGUUUAUAUUAUACAUAAUUUCUUCCAUUUUUUGAAUAAUUAUAUACAAUUAAAUAAUUUAUUAUGAUCUAGAUAAUUUAGAAGUGUAUAAUGUAUAUGGUGUCUUACAAUACUCUUAAUUUUAUUGACACAUUUUUUUAUCACUUGAGUUUAUUUUUGCUGAAUUGAAAAUCGAAGCAUUAAUUUUAGAAUAUAAUAAAAUCUUACUUGAAAUAGGCAAGUAGAGUAUUUGCUGUUUUAGAAUUUUAAUCUCAAGUUUAAUUACUAACAAAGCGAAAUAAAGAGAGAAAAUAAAAAUUAAAAAGUUAUUACAUGUAAAUUUUUUAAUGUUUAAAAAAAAAUUAAUUUUAGAUUCAAAGAAUUUAGUAAAUUAAAGUUAAGAUUUUUGGGGCACCUUUUACAUUAAUAUAUAUUGUACUUUACAUUUUUGGCACAAGUCAAUACAUGACAACAAUACGUCUGUUAUGCAUUAUGGCGAUUUGAUUAGUGUAUAUCAAUUGUAUCUUUCUAUUUAGAUUAUAUGUAGUCGCGUGUGCACAGUAAAUUACAUCUGUCUGAUCGCUUAAAAAAAAAUAGCAUAUAUGAGAUAUGGAAGAUAGAACGGGAUCAUACUAUUACAAGAGACCAAGAUUGCUUUAUAAUUAAUCUAAUGACUCUUAGCGCGUAUAUAUAUAUAUAUAUAUAUAUAUAUAUAUAUAUCUACUAUAUAUAUUCAUUGAAUGAAAAAUUGUAUUACACGAUAACUGUGUAAUAAGAAUAUUAAUUGCGCGGAACAUUCGUCGUUUUCUUCUGCGUAACAUCGAGUACCACACGCGAGGCGAAGCGUCGCCAAUAAAUGCUGUACAUACAUAGGAGUAGGAAUAAAUUAUUGAAUAUAUGCAUCACAUA